AGAGAUGGACGAGAUGGACCUCUUAUCUACUUGAGUUAUUUAAACAUCGUGUUGUAUUUGAAUUUUAAGUUUAUUGUCAUGCUGUUACCAAAAUGUUGGGAAUGGUAAUUCGCCGAUAGUCUUAUUACCAUAGAAGAACCAUAGAUUACCAAGAAGAAUGUUGUUGUAGUUGUUAGUUGCUGGAAAAAGUGGGUGGGUCUGAUAAAUUAAUUAGAUCGACCCAUUUGACUGGAAGUGUCUCAAUAUUUUUGUGAGCUAAUCGAUUCUUUUGUUUGGAUUGCAGUUGCAACCGAUGGAAAACACGAAUCUUCGCUUUUUGUUAAAUCGACGGUAUUCACGAGGAAGUCGUUUCCCACUUAAUGUCAACUCUGAAAUUCUCUACGGAUGGAGAGCGAUGCUGAUCACCCAGACAUGUCACCCAGUAUUCUCCUAAAAAGUUGCAACCGAUGGAGAACAUGAAUCUUUGCCUUUGGUUAAAUCCAUUCUCGUCGUUUCCCACCUGGAUGAUGUCAACUCCGAAAUUCUCUACGGAUGGAGAGCACCCAGACAUGCUGCCCAGUAUUCUCCUUAGAAGGAGGAAACGUCUAGGAGUAGUGCAGCCUACUGUCAACUAUUUUGUUCAAAAUCAUUGUAUAUUUUACUGAAUGUGCCAUUGAAAUGAUACAGGAUUCAUCAUAAUUGUCCGCUGUUUGUAUUGGACUUGCAAGAUUACCUACCCCAGCAUGGAUCAAUCGCUCAUUCCAUCUUCUAGAGAACCUUGGAUAACUGAUUGAUGGUUUCAUGUGUUCUAAACUGCUGGUUUCUAAAUUUGCAUGGCAGAUUUUAUGAAAAGUCCUGUCAUUUCAAGAAAAGUCAACAAGGUCUGUUGUUUGCUGACCUGUUGGCUGCUACCUUGAAUCCUCCUUGUUGACUUCUUUACACAGGCCCUCCUGAUUUGAGGGUAAUCCUUCGCUACUGAUCAUGGACUUCAUCCAUUGGUGACAACCGACGAGAGAAUACUGUAAUUGAAGACAGAUCAAUUGUUUAGUUAGAUCAAAUUACAAGUGCAUAUCUGGGCUCCCUUCUUUUCUGUGGCCCCGUUUCCCUAACUAACCACUAACCAACGCCCGCCGGUGGUCACUCACCCGCUGUGAACCCAGGAGGAGGGGAGGGCUCU
Daphnia pulex (common water flea) is the source of this 1156-nucleotide long non-coding RNA. RefSeq lists it as uncharacterized. The record is from RefSeq and is a predicted model, not a curated record. Lineage: Eukaryota; Metazoa; Arthropoda; Branchiopoda; Diplostraca; Daphniidae. The transcript is spliced from 6 exons.